AGCUAAACAACAAGAUCAGGGUGGCGAUGGUCAGUUCUUGAGCUUCGAACGGGCAGAAAGCUAAACAACAAGAUCAGAGUGGCGAUGGUCAGUUCUUGAGCUUCGAACGGGCAGAAAGCUAAACAACAAGAUCAGGGUGGCCACAGUCAGUUCUUGAGCUUCGAACGGGCAGAAAGCUAAACAACAAGAUCAGGGUGGAGAUGGUCAGUUCUUGAGCUUCGAACGGGCAGAAAGCUAAGCAACAAGAUCAGGGUGGCGAUGGUCAGUUCUUGAGCUUCGAACGGGCAGAAAG
This is a long non-coding RNA of Sycon ciliatum, 292 nucleotides long. RefSeq lists it as uncharacterized. Lineage: Eukaryota; Metazoa; Porifera; Calcarea; Leucosolenida; Sycettidae. The transcript is spliced from 5 exons. The record is from RefSeq and is a predicted model, not a curated record.